This 861-nucleotide ribosomal RNA is filed under the name Salmonella enterica subsp. enterica serovar Infantis. Its description in RNAcentral is "partial 23S ribosomal RNA". It matches the Rfam family "Bacterial large subunit ribosomal RNA", at positions 711 to 1570 of the family's 2925-position model. The record is from RNAcentral. Lineage: Bacteria; Pseudomonadati; Pseudomonadota; Gammaproteobacteria; Enterobacterales; Enterobacteriaceae.
AGACCCGAAACCCGGUGAUCUAGCCAUGGGCAGGUUGAAGGUUGGGUAACACUAACUGGAGGACCGAACCGACUAAUGUUGAAAAAUUAGCGGAUGACCUGUGGCUGGGGGUGAAAGGCCAAUCAAACCGGGAGAUAGCUGGUUCUCCCCGAAAGCUAUUUAGGUAGCGCCUCGUGAAUUCAUCUCCGGGGGUAGAGCACUGUUUCGGCUAGGGGGCCAUCCCGGCUUACCAACCCGAUGCAAACUGCGAAUACCGGAGAAUGUUAUCACGGGAGACACACGGCGGGUGCUAACGUCCGUCGUGAAGAGGGAAACAACCCAGACCGCCAGCUAAGGUCCCAAAGUCAUGGUUAAGUGGGAAACGAUGUGGGAAGGCCCAGACAGCCAGGAUGUUGGCUUAGAAGCAGCCAUCAUUUAAAGAAAGCGUAAUAGCUCACUGGUCGAGUCGGCCUGCGCGGAAGAUGUAACGGGGCUAAACCAUGCACCGAAGCUGCGGCAGCGACACUCAGGUGUUGUUGGGUAGGGGAGCGUUCUGUAAGCCUGCGAAGGUGGCCUGUGAGGGUUGCUGGAGGUAUCAGAAGUGCGAAUGCUGACAUAAGUAACGAUAAAGCGGGUGAAAAGCCCGCUCGCCGGAAGACCAAGGGUUCCUGUCCAACGUUAAUCGGGGCAGGGUGAGUCGACCCCUAAGGCGAGGCCGAAAGGCGUAGUCGAUGGGAAACGGGUUAAUAUUCCCGUACUUGGUGUUACUGCGAAGGGGGGACGGAGAAGGCUAUGUUGGCCGGGCGACGGUUGUCCCGGUUUAAGCGUGUAGGUGUGUGUUCCAGGUAAAUCCGGUUCACUUUAACACUGAGGCGUGAUGAC